UCGCAAUUGGCCAUUGUCAUGUAGGUGU
This 28-nucleotide small RNA is filed under the name Bombyx mori (domestic silkworm). RNAcentral describes it as "ovarian small RNA-28553". Lineage: Eukaryota; Metazoa; Arthropoda; Insecta; Lepidoptera; Bombycidae. The record is from RNAcentral.